UACGUAGGGGGCAAGCGUUGUCCGGAAUUAUUGGGCGUAAAGAGCGCGUAGGCGGUCCGAUAAGUCGGCUGUGAAAGUCAGGGGCUCAACCCUUGAAAGCCGGCCGAUACUGUCGGACUAGAGUCCGGAAGAGGCGAGUGGAAUUCCUGGUGUAGCGGUGAAAUGCGCAGAUAUCAGGAGGAACACCGAUUGCGAAGGCAGCUCGCUGGGACGUAACUGACGCUGAGACGCGAAAGCGUGGGGAGCAAACAGG
This 253-nucleotide ribosomal RNA is filed under the name uncultured bacterium. Its description in RNAcentral is "partial 16S ribosomal RNA". It matches the Rfam family "Bacterial small subunit ribosomal RNA", at positions 524 to 776 of the family's 1533-position model. The record is from RNAcentral.